Molecule: long non-coding RNA, 230 nt
Organism: Prunus mume (Japanese apricot)
Lineage: Eukaryota; Viridiplantae; Streptophyta; Magnoliopsida; Rosales; Rosaceae
Source: RefSeq, a predicted model, not a curated record
UCAAAACAAUAUAGAGGCAGCUGAAGAAAAAAGAAGAAGAAGAAGAAGAAGAAGCAGAGAAGAAAACAGACUUUCGUUGACAUAUGGCUAUGACCAAGCCUCAUUUCCAAGCUGAUAAAGACGAAAUAAACCGGCAGGACAAGGAAGGUCGCCUUUGCUACAACAUCAAACCACGAGGGCUUACCAUUGUAUUGGAAAUUACCAAAGAAAGGGAGUGAUGGUGAUCCCGU